This 72-nucleotide transfer RNA is filed under the name Oryzias latipes (Japanese medaka). It matches the Rfam family "tRNA". From Rfam's summary of the family: Transfer RNA (tRNA) molecules are approximately 80 nucleotides in length. Their secondary structure includes four short double-helical elements and three loops (D, anti-codon, and T loops). The record is from Rfam by way of RNAcentral. Lineage: Eukaryota; Metazoa; Chordata; Actinopteri; Beloniformes; Adrianichthyidae.
GGUUCUAUGGUGUAAUGGUUAGCACUCUGGUCUUUAAAUCCAUUGGCCUGAGUUAAAACUUCAGUAGAACCU